RNAcentral lists this ribosomal RNA (502 nucleotides) under uncultured bacterium. Its description in RNAcentral is "bacterial SSU rRNA". It matches the Rfam family "Bacterial small subunit ribosomal RNA", at positions 21 to 518 of the family's 1533-position model. The record is from RNAcentral.
GGUUCAGGAUGAACGCUGGCGGCGUGCCUAAUACAUGCAAGUCGAACGAGGUAGCAAUACCGAGUGGCGAACGGGUGAGUAACACGUAGGUAACCUGCCCUUAAGCUUGGGAUACCCAGAGGAAACUUUGGCUAAUACCGGAUAACAACAGAGAAGGCAUCUUCUUUGCUUGAAAGGCCCCUUCAAGGGUCACUUAAGGAUGGACCUGCGGCGCAUUAGCUAGUUGGUGAGAUAACAGCCCACCAAGGCGAGGAUGCGUAGCCGAACUGAGAGGUUGAUCGGCCACAUUGGAACUGAGACACGGUCCAAACUCCUACGGGAGGCAGCAGUAAGGAGUUUUCGGCAAUGGGGGAAACCCUGACCGAGCAACGCCGCGUGAGCGAUGACGGCCCUAUUGGGUUGUAAAGCUCUGUUGUAAGCCAUGAAUGACAGCUUGAGGAAAUGCAAGUUGUUUGACGACAGCUUACCAGAAAGCCACGGCUAACUACGUGCCAGCCGCCGC